UGUAUCUCAUGUGUAUUUUAUAACUGUUCCAUUUUUUGUUUUUUUAUUUUUAUUUUUUUUAUCUUGAUUAGGUUCUUAUUAGUUGAAACUAAAGGAUAAUGGCCUUCGUAAUGAUUUUCCUUAUCUAAAUCUGAAAUUAUAUGAAAUUGGUUAUGAAUUAUGAACUACAUUGUACAUCAUUAGAUUUAAAUAGUUAAGUUGUUUACAUUAGUUAUGACGCAGGAAGAACAGUGAACAAGGUUCUUGAUUAGGAUGUAAGAUACAAAAUUGCAUUAGGUGCUGCAAGGGGAGCAUCUUAUCAUCAAUAGACUGCAUUCCUCAUAUAGUUCAUAGAGACAUCAGGCUGAGCAAUAUAUUAUCAGAUCUUAAUAUAGAGGCUUGUGUUUCUAAUUUUGGGUUAGCUGACACUCAUGGAGCAAGAUAAGACCCAUUGUAUCCACUUUAUUAGCUGGGGCUUUAGGUUACUUAGCCCCUGGUAUGAUCUCACUACACCUAUUACGAACAUAAAGGCAUUAUCUUUGGAUAUCAGUAAAGGUUGCAAAAAUAGGUAGGUCAAGCAGGUUGGAAAACAAAUCCAAUUUGGUUUAGGUUGAAACAUGUAAUUCUUUUUAAUAUCAGUUAAAACAUACCAGAUUAGGUUGGUUGACAUAAAAACAUACUUUAUUAAUUAGGGUUUCGGACACUAUCAAUUUGGUUCUAUACUUCUCUAAAUUUUAGAGAAAUAUAACGGUUUACCUGCUACCUUCAUGAACUAUAUUAAACACAUAGACUUCUUUGGUGCGGUCACCAGGUCAUGUACAGAAUUAGCUUCCUUUAUGGAUGGUGUAUGGAAUUCUUCACGACCAAUAUGGAGAGUUUUUUAUAUGCGAGCAAUAAGGAGACUCAAAGCGUGAUUCAACAUCCCUCACAAACAUGGCCGAGAGGUUAACUUGCAUGAUAUGUUGCGAGAAUAUAUUCCAAUGCACAUGGCAUAAUCUGUCCUUUAUGCUGCAGAAGCAAUUAGCGUUCUUCAUAAUCCAAGCUCUGCAUUCUACUGUGUAGACACAAUACAUAAAAAUUGAUGGGUGAUGAACUACUGCCACAAUCAGAGGCUGCUAAGAUUGGAUCAUUGCUUAUCUAGGCGAACAAAGAAAUAGAGGCGAGUUACUCAAUUACGAGAGAUAUUGAACCAUACAUUGCCAAGUAAUAUGAAAAUAAGAGAACUUUGGCUGACUAAAAGAGUCAGACUUGACAAAGACGAUGUACAUGCUUCGGUUCGAAAUAAAACUGACUGCUAUGAAUGGAUGAUUUAUACCAGGAGCCUCUAGCAGCAUUGAAAGCUAGAAUUGAAAAGGAAGGAUCAAAAGCAGUAUUUGCUCCAUUGAUAGAGAAAUAUAUAUUAAAGAAUCCUCACCGUGUAAUGAUUGAAAUGCAGGAAAAAGACCCGGGGAUAAAGUGUUUUCUUGCGGACCCACCUGUUCACUGUUUGUUUAACAAGGUUACAAGCGGAGUGAUGUACACAAAAGAAGAGGCUGAAAGAAAGAGAUUAAAGUAUCCAUUUGAUACUAUAACCGAAGGAAUUGGGAUUAAUAGAUUAACAAAAAAUUUUAAAAUCGCUCAACUUGGUGGAGCUUUUAAAGGUACUGUAUUGAAGCUGUUGAAAUGUCUAGAUUCCUGUUGAAGAAUGAUGGGCUUUUUAUUGGAAGUUCUUCAGUAAUGAACUAUGUUGGAACAAUGAGACUAGCAAGAUUAUUGGGCCCGGGUCAUACUAUUGUAACAAUUUUGUGUGAUAGUGGGAUGAGGCAUUUAAGCAAGUUCUGUAAUCUCGAGUACCUUUCUCAACACGGUUUAACACCUUCAGCUAAAGCGUUAGAAUUCCUUGAUUGUAGAUGAUAUCAUUUUUCAUAUGCGUGACGUUUUGUAUCGUGCACGGGGCAGUAUUGAGUUUCAAACAUGUCUGCGAUGAUUGGAUCGACUGUUUUUUUUUACAAGGGAAUGCACUUCUACUUAGAAGGUUACAUAUAUUGUUUGUUAUUUAUGAGGUUUCUGUAAGUAUUCUCUUUUUUACACUAAGGUCACUCGUGGGCAUAUAUAUUGAAACGGUUUUUUAGGUCAUCUAAGUAUGUGCUAGGUUCUCAAAAUGCGACCAGAAACAUGUAAGAUUCCUAGAUGCUGCUUUUUGUUAGAUUGAUAAAUUGCUUUUUUUACUCUUCUGUUAGCGAAGUGGGGACAUAUAUAUUCGGUACUUUCGCCAUCGGUACCCGUACUUUUCCGGUAAACAUUCUAUUGGUACCGAAUUUGAUAUGUUUUAUUCUCAAAAUUUAAUUAAUAGCUAAACCAUGUUAUCUAUGUCUAUGGGUAUGAACUACAAGCAUCUAUAUGCGAUUUGAUCCCGAAAGCGGGUUAUAUAUUCUGGGUAGGGGCGUGUAGUAAUGUUUUGUAUAAUAUUUUAACAAAUGCAUUUCUAUUUCAGUUUCGUCUCCAAGAACUGACUCAUUUUAUUUUCUUAGUUAUCGUUAAUUUUUCACUUUUUUUUCUCCCGACAGGUAACAGGGCAUGAAGUUGAUAAUUCAAGUAAGUUUCCGUUAGUAGUGAGCACGUGGCAUUACAAACUUCAUCCCAAUGCCAAUAAAAUGAUGAGAUUGUACUUUAGUUACUUGGGGUUGCAUGUUCUUGCAUGAUAUUGUUUUUCAUUUAAGGGUUUAAUGGUUGUGAUAUGACCAAAUGUCUAUGUACAGUGUAUUUAGCACGUAAGCAAAUUUGGAUAAAAUAAAAUAUGUUAUUCAGUUGUUUUUGCUUAUUUCACGUUUUUGCUUUUUUAAAAUAAAAAAUAUUUUUCAGUUGACCCUUCUCAACAAAAUACGACUCUAAUUAAUCAUUUUCAUUAUUACAUCCAUUUUUUGCUUGCCCGUUGUGUUGUUCAGUGAAAAGUUUGCCUGUUCCAGUUAAGAAUUGUAGUUGACGGGUCAAAUGAAAUAGUGCCAUAGGGAAUUUUUUUCCAAAACAAAGUCUAUAGUCAAACCGGUUACCAACCCCAAAUAAGGUGUGCCGGGUCAAUAGGGUAUAAGGUAUUUAAUGCAGUUGCAGCUUAGAAAAGUCAGGUUAAGUUCCCCUACUUUUCAAAUUGCUCUCCUCAUAUCUGAUUGAUCUUGGGUGUUUUGUAUGCAAUGAACUAAAAAGAUGCAGGAUUCAACUAUGACGGAAGCAAUAAGUUAAUGGAUAGAGAGCUCUUCUAAGGUACUUAGUCAUAAUUCUAUCACUCCACAACCUUGGUAUAAAUAUGGGAUGGUCAAAAGCUUUUGGUCCAGCCGUCGAUCUCAUCAAUCAAAGUUCCACCACUCCUUCUCAUUGCCUUCGGUAUAAGGUAGUUGUUUACCAGUUAAGAUAACAGUUAUGUUGUGCUAUAUUAUUCAGCCAUGAUUUUUUAGUUAAAUGUAAUAUAUCAUCAAGGGAGAUAUUAAUACAUGUGUGUAUGUUAUAAUUUGUGAAUAUAAUAUGCAUGUUAAUAGCAUGUGUUGAUGCAAAUGAAAGAGAUCAUAUCAGAUCCAAUCAAACUGGUACACAAUCCACAUCUCUUCAUAUCUUUGUUUUUUUGUUGUUAAUUUAAGAUGUUCUAAUAUGAUUCUAGGGAAUGUAGGUUUUAGUAUAUACGUUAAUACUUUGAAAUCAUACAAGUACCCGUUACAGGGUAUAGCCGUAUAGCGUAGGCUCUUAAAAAUUUAUGUUGGAAGUAUGUUUUCUUGAGCAAAUUUUGAUUGAAAACCAUCAAUCUUGACAUAUUCUUUCCAAAUCACUAUUUUUUGCGAUUCUUUUUUUCGGUAUCUUUUGCAUUAUACACAAGAAUAAUGGUAUGUAUGCAAUGAAAAGUCAAGUCAAGUUUUAAUAGCCAGUAAUCUAAUAAUUUUGGAAUCAAACUUAUUUAUAGAAACGAUGCUACUUUUGUGUUUGACUUUGGAAGUCAAACCUACUAAGUUUUCAUAUUCUGUUAGAGUUAAUUGCAAAUACAUCACUUAUAUAAAUUAUUUUUAUAUUUAAUAUUCAUUAUAAAACUAGAUGUUGAAUUCAUAUAAAUGCUAUAGCCUAUAACUGAACCCAUUUGAUCUCAUAGGUCAAAAGUGUUUUAAAAGAGCUGGGGUUUGACCAAGUCAAAUCCUGUAAAUUAAAAAAACAAAUGAUAGUUAUCAUAUAAAUUUCAGGGUCAAAACUAAUUACUUACCAAAUAAUCGCGUUACAGCUUUUACACAUCUAUGUGGUAACUUCUCCACAUUUUUCAAUAUUUUUAACAAAUAGUUAAUCCAUUGUAUACGGUAUACUAAAACUAUAUUAGUUCAAUACUUAUUAGAACUUUUAAAAUAAAAUCAUUUAGGAGGUUACAUUCAAACCACUUUUUGCUAUUUUUGACCCUUUACAUUUUAAGUUAUUUUUUAUACCUUUUUGACCCAUUUUGACACUUUAGGCUUACUAUACUCCUUAAUGCUGAGGAUCAAUGAUAAAUCAUGUAUGGUUCCAUUAGAAAUGCUUAAAAAUAAAAGGGGUUGGCAAUUAGAUUUUGUUCUUAUUUAUAUUUGUUGCUUAUAGAGAGCCUUAUAUUUUUACGGAUGAAUUGCAAAUGCAGUUGCAAAAAGAAAGGCAAAAUUUGACCCCUUUUUUUUAUUAAUGGGCUUAACGGUGCAUGCUUUGUUUCAAUGAUUUAGUUAGCAAUGUUAUAUGAGGUGAAAAUUGAAAAAUCUUCACUCAUGUUAGGGAUAUCAAAUUUUAGGUGUUUGUUAAAUCAAAGAGAAGUUGCACCUGCUCUGUUUGAUGUGUCGGACCGUGUUGCACCAACGGACUGGGCUCCUAUUAAUUUUUGUAAUUGUAAAUUAACAUCAACUAAUAUAAUACAUGUUUUUUAUUAAAUACUUUUCUUAAAGGGUCAAAUGCAGUUCUUUGUCUCCACCAUGCCCUUGCCCAUCUUGGAUUGUCAGUUGUUCUCCAUUUAAUGAAUUCCCUUUGGAAGCUGAGCUAGAUGUAUAAAGUAUGAAACAUUUGAAAUUCUUGAAUUGUACGGGCCUCGGAUUAACUGUACUGUUUGGAUCAUGGAUUGUAACUGUAUACACAUUAUAGCAAAUGGUUGAGAUGCAUGAGACAGGAAUGUAACUGUACCAUUGUGUUUUUUUAUUAUCGUCAAUCCUGUUAUAAGUUUUGGUUGUAACUGAGAUUUUGUUGCUUUUCUUGCUUUUUUUUUGGUUGUCGACUUUACGACAACAAAACCUGCUUGGAUUCAAUGGUUCAAACGAGAUAUUUGGUGAACGAAUAUGGUGGCCGGUAGGAUGAAAUGACAGCGGCUACAACUAGCGAGGAGACAUGGAGGAGUACUGCUACGAUGGGCCAGCCGUGAUUGUUCAGGUUUUGUGUUCGACCAGUUUGAUCCUCCUAAAGUUCUUUGAGUGAUUGGAUGGCUUUUGCAUGCUUAUAUUUACUCUGUUUGAGGAUGGAGUGUGCACUAAUGAUGGUAGUGCAUUCGAUAUUAUGUAAUUCUCAAAAUUAGCAACCUCUCCUUGGCAAUUUACCUUGAUCGUUGUUUCUCAUAUGGUGGUUGUUCCUCGACGAUCGUUGCAACCACUUAUCCGUCUCUGCAUAGAAUUCUAGAUUAAUAUUCAUAUCACAAGUGGCUUGGGCUUCAUAACCCGAGCGCGGCCUAUCUCCGUUGCCUUUCAUAAACCCUAAAUUGGAAUCGGGCGUACUCUUAUCCAGAUCGGAAUGUGAUGGAUUUCGUUAGUGGGAAAGUGUUUAGUAGUCCGAGAGCUGAUGUGGCACAUUGUUUUACAUUUACCGAGGUUGCUAUCGCAACACAUAACUUCAAGAGUGCUAAUUUGAAUGUAGAAGGUGGAUUCAUUCAUGUUAAUAAGGGCCAUUAUAAUUAAGGGAAAUUUGAGCAACAUGUUGAAUAUGCUCUUGAUGUAUAUAUGGAUUUCGUCUAUCCGAAAAAAAAAGUAUAUCAGUUGUGCUGAGGGAAUUCCCAGCAUGAAAACUUGCUCCACUUCCAGGUGAAUAUGCAACUCUCAAUGAUUGGGAAAAUCAUAUCACUACAAUAUUCCAUGAGCUUGAGCUUGAGUGGUCAAACUAACGGGGCGCUACACUGGAAAGCUUUACUAAAACUAAUAUGCAAGUGAAUUGUAUUGGUUUUGACCUGACCCGUUUCAACAUGUAGAAUUUUAAAAGGUUGGUUCUAAAUAAGUGUAUAAAGAAGUCUUUUAACGACUUGUGGUGUAUA
This is an RNA transcript of Helianthus annuus (common sunflower), 6232 nucleotides long. RefSeq lists it as uncharacterized. Lineage: Eukaryota; Viridiplantae; Streptophyta; Magnoliopsida; Asterales; Asteraceae. The record is from RefSeq and is a predicted model, not a curated record. The transcript is spliced from 13 exons.